RNAcentral lists this ribosomal RNA (513 nucleotides) under uncultured bacterium. Its description in RNAcentral is "partial 16S ribosomal RNA". It matches the Rfam family "Bacterial small subunit ribosomal RNA", at positions 28 to 523 of the family's 1533-position model. The record is from RNAcentral.
GACGAACGCUGGCGGCAUGCCUAAUACAUGCAAGUCGAGCGAACAGAUGAAGUGCUUGCACUUCUGACGUUAGCGGCGAACGGGUGAGUAACACGUAAGGAAUCUACCUAUAAGCGGGGGAUAACAUUCGGAAACGGGUGCUAAUACCGCAUAAUAUCUUCUUCCGCAUGGAAGCAGAUUGAAAGACGGCUCUGCUGUCACUUAUAGAUGACCUUGCGGUGCAUUAGUUAGUUGGUGGGGUAAUGGCCUACCAAGACGAUGAUGAAUAGCCGACCUGAGAGGGUGAUCGGCCACAUUGGGACUGAGACACGGCCCAAACUCCUACGGGAGGCAGCAGUAGGGAAUCUUCCGCAAUGGGCGAAAGCCUGACGGAGCAAUGCCGCGUGAGUGAAGAAGGCCUUCGGGUCGUAAAACUCUGUUAUAAGAGAAGAACAAAUUGUAGAGUAACUGCUACAGUCUUGACGGUAUCUUAUCAGAAAGCCACGGCUAACUACGUGCCAGCCGCCGCGGUAA